AGGUGGUGCAUGGUUGUCGUCAGCUCGUGUCGUGAGAUGUUGGGUUAAGUCCCGCAACGAGCGCAACCCUCGCCUCUAGUUGCCAGCAUUCGGUUGGGCACUCUAGAGGGACUGCCGGCGACAAGUCGGAGGAAGUGGGGAUGACGUCAAAUCAUCAUGCCCUUAUGACCUGGGCUACACACGUGCUACAAUGGGCGGUACAAAGGGCUGCGAACCCGCGAGGGGGAGCGAAUCCCAAAAAGCCGCCCUCAGUUCGGAUUGCAGGCUGCAACUCGCCUGCAUGAAGCCGGAAUCGCUAGUAAUCGCGGAUCAGCAUGCCCGCGGUCCGAAUACGUUCCGGGCCUU
Molecule: ribosomal RNA, 345 nt
Filed under: uncultured Geobacillus sp.
Lineage: Bacteria; Bacillati; Bacillota; Bacilli; Caryophanales; Anoxybacillaceae
Description: bacterial SSU rRNA
Rfam family: Bacterial small subunit ribosomal RNA
Source: RNAcentral